This 614-nucleotide ribosomal RNA is filed under the name Penicillium sp. JCM 28124. RNAcentral's name for it is "eukaryotic LSU rRNA". It matches the Rfam family "Eukaryotic large subunit ribosomal RNA", at positions 38 to 667 of the family's 3401-position model. Lineage: Eukaryota; Fungi; Ascomycota; Eurotiomycetes; Eurotiales; Aspergillaceae. The record is from RNAcentral. RNAcentral also lists the same sequence under 3 other names.
GCAUAUCAAUAAGCGGAGGAAAAGAAACCAACAGGGAUUGCCUCAGUAACGGCGAGUGAAGCGGCAAGAGCUCAAAUUUGAAAGCUGGCCCCCUCGGGGUCCGCAUUGUAAUUUGCAGAGGAUGCUUCGGGAGUGGCCCCCAUCUAAGUGCUCUGGAACGGGCCGUCAUAGAGGGUGAGAAUCCCGUAUGGGAUGGGGUGUCCGCGACCAUGUGAAGCUCCUUCGACGAGUCGAGUUGUUUGGGAAUGCAGCUCUAAAUGGGUGGUAAAUUUCAUCUAAAGCUAAAUAUUGGCCGGAGACCGAUAGCGCACAAGUAGAGUGAUCGAAAGAUGAAAAGCACUUUGAAAAGAGAGUUAAAAAGCACGUGAAAUUGUUGAAAGGGAAGCGCUUGCGACCAGACUCGCCUACGGGGUUCAGCCGGUAUUCGUACCGGUGUACUUCCCCGUGGGCGGGCCAGCGUCGGUUUGGGCGGCCGGUCAAAGGCCCUCGGAAUGUAACGCCUCUCGGGGCGUCUUAUAGCCGAGGGUGCCAUGCGGCCAGCCCGGACCGAGGAACGCGCUUCGGCACGGACGCUGGCAUAAUGGUCGUAAGCGACCCGUCUUGAAACACGGACC